UUUCACUUUCUGAGGUGAGACCCUAUCCUUUUUGAGUUUUCUUCAUGUUUUCAUCAAAUCAUGCAAAGGUUUGAUUGAGUUUUUAUGGAUUUUGAAGGUUUUGAGCUAAAAACACAAAGUUGUGCAUGUUGGAGAGUUUGAAGGAGAGUUGCUCCAAAACUCCACGUUAGGAUCGUUCAUCUUCUUGGUUUCAAGAGGUAAGUGAAGAUCCUGAGCUUGUUUUCAUGAUUUAUGGAAGAUUUUUGAGGUUUUGGGGGAGAGUUGCAUGAAUAGGGUAAAAAGAGAGGUUUUGAUGAUUUUGUGAACAAAGCUUGUAUAUGUGUUAUAUGUUUUGUGUUGUUGGGGUUUUUUAGGUAGUUUUUGACCCCUUUGAGCAUAUACUUGGGUGUAUGCAUGUUGAGGCAGUGAGGUGUUUGAGUUUGGGAGAGUUUGGUGCAUUUUGGCGUGAGGCAGAGCAAGGUUCUGCCUUGCUAAUGAACCCAGCUUCGGCCGCCGAAGAAUGGUUCAGCCGCCGAAUGUGCUGAGGAGGUGGCUUCGGCUGCCCAAGCUUGCCCCCGAGCCUUUGGACUUUCGGCUCUAGAAGGGAGAUUCGGCCGCCGAAGGUGCCGCCGAAGGGUAGAGACUUUCGUCUCUGGAGUGCCUUUCAGCCCCCGAAACUUGCCCCCGAAAGGGUUCGGCUGCCGAAAGUUGAGAUUCGGCCGCCGAAGGUGCAUGAGUUUCGUCUCUGGAGAGGACUUUCGGCCGCCGAACCUGCCGCCGAAAGUGUCCUGUCCAGCCUUCCUUUGCAUGCUUUGCAUGGAUAUUUGAGUGAGUUUAAGGGGAUUCUUGGGGAGUGUUUUAGAGUUGUUCAUAAGCUAGUUUGGUCCCUCAUUUGAGUUUAUCUGUGCCUACACAAACCAGAGGAACCAGAGAGAGCAGCAGUGAGUACUGCUCCAGAGUUACAGAGCCUGCAGCGUCAGUUCAGAUAGCCAGAGGUGAGUGGAACUAAACUUAAUACUCGUUUUAAUUGAGACAUUGAAUGCUUUUAGCAUAUUUCAUGCACCAUACUUAUGCCAUAGGUUGAUUGCAUUAGAAGCACGAAGAUGUUGCAUUGCAUAGUUAUGUGUUGAUGUGGGUGAAUGUUGAAUGAUCCAAUAGUUCUAGACAGGAAGUCCAGGACCCCAUUCUACGGCCUGGCAAGUAUAGAAAGUCCAAGACCCCAUUCUACGGCCUGGUAGGUAUAGUAAAGACCAGGUGCCCAGUCUACGCCCUGGCAAAUGGUAAGUAUAGGUGUUAUAUACACAUAUACAUAUAUAGUACAGGAAGACUAGGACCCCAGUCUACGGCCUGGCACGGAACAGUUACUGGGACUAUGUGGUGACAGGUUUACCCUUGUUGUGGAUUGUCUGUGAUAUGAUGCAUUCCAUAAGACCAUGUUUUAAUGACCUGUUUUUCUAUUCUACUCACUGGGCUAUAGAGCUCAUCCCACUCUCUUAACCCCAGUCUUGCAAGUUCAGUGUACAGUGUACAGGGGAAGUCCAACAGAGUACAGGAAGAGAGAAGAGUUGUGUAAUAGACUCUUGUGGACAUGUAAUAUUAAAGAUGUAACAGCUAUGUAAAGUUAGAGUUGUGCUUGACUUAGUUAUUUUGUGUUGUAAAUCUUUUGUAUACAUGAUCUGUUUAUAUAACUGUUGUACAGAGUAUGUGAAAAACCAGGCUUAACAGGUAUGAGUUAAUCCAUCUAGAGCCAGCUCUAGUCAGGGAUACAGAGUACAGAGUACAGAGUACAGAGAUAGUGCAUGCACAGGUUAAGCCUUGGUGCAGAAAAGAGUUUUAUUUUUCACAGAAAAUGUAUGAUCAUGUAUGAGAUUUACAGGUACACAGAGAGUAUAGCAAGCUUGCUACGGGUUCUGGUGGCCUUAAGCCGACCUGAAUCCUAGCGCCGGUGACGGUCCAUUUUGGGGUCAUUACAGAUUGGUAUCAGAGCCCUAGGUUCACAUGAUCGGACCUAUAGAGAGAGUGUCGGGCUCAUAGAGUUUAGAGGAAGUCAAGCACAAUAGGAAAUCAUGUCCACUAGGAUAGGAUGUUGAGUCCUGUCUAUUUGCUGCUAUGAAAUGCCAGGAUAUGCAUGUGCAUGUUUAAGAUAUAUGAGUUCACUAUAUGCUGAUAUGUUAUGUGAUGUGUUGUGUUUUCCAGAGUUACCAUGUGAGGAACUCGUCAAUCAGCUCGAUGAGGUACAGUUAGAGGAGGAAGAUCAGAGGAAGUAAGGGAGGCUAUGGCGAGUGACCAGUCGAUGGAUGAAAGCAUGGGUAUGGGUAGAUCUGAAGAAGGUAUGGGAGAGUCGCAGGGAGGCGUUCAGGCCUCAGGUUUUGACUAUCCAUCCUUUCCUCAGGACCCAGGGUAUCCGAUGGAAGGUAUGUCGGAGUACUCUAGUUUUGUUCCAUAUCCUACUUACAUGCCAUAUACGCCUUAUCCUCAUUAUUACCCACCAUAUCCUAUGUAUCCACCUUCCCCUACCCAUCCAAGUGCAGCACACCCAGAGCUAAAUGAACCAGUACCUUUACCACCACAACCAGAACCAGUAGCCCCUAUUGUUGAAAGACAUCAACCUAGCUCAUCUGGAGGUAAGGUGCAAAUGACAGAGUACUUGAAAUUGGAUGCUCCUAAAUUCAAUCCGGGAGAUGAUCCAUUUGAAUACCUCAGAUCAGUUAGGAUGAUAACCAGUGAAUUGGGAGCAGAUGAUAGUAGAGCCAUUGAAAUGGCAGGGUUCACACUGAAAUGUAAGAAAGCCAGAGAAUGGUUCAAGAACUAUAUAGAGCCCAGGAGUGACAGCAUGUCAUGGGGAGAGUUCGCCAAUGAGUUUGCAGGGUGGGCUUUUCCUGAUAGCUCCAGGGAGAUGAAAGUCAUUGAAUUUGAGCAGUUGAGACAGACAGACGAGAUGAGUGUUGAUGAGUUUACAGAUAAGUUCCUGGAUUUGCUUCAGUAUGUGGGUCAAGCCUAUGAUACUGAUCAGAAGAAGGCAAGGAGAUACACUAUGAGACUUCAUCCCAGGUAUUCUUUCUUGAUUCUUCCAGCAGAAAUGGAGAGUUUCCACUCUAUAGUGGAUGCAGCCAGGAAAAUGGAAGCAAGUGCCAAUAUACAGAGACAGUCAAGGGCACAGGCUUCGGGUUCUAAGGCCCCCAGUGCAGCAACUUCAGGUAGUAAAAGAUGGGAAAAGGCAAAAGGAACAAAGAGUAAGUUCUGGAAUAAAGUCAAGUCUGGUCUGGGAAUAGGUAGUGGCGCAAGCUCUGGCGCAAGCUCUGGCGCAAGCAGUUCAGUAUGUAGAAGAUGUGGGAGACCACACAAGGGAGCUUGUCAGUUGGGAUCUUCAGCUUGCUUUAGAUGUGGACAGGAAGGGCAUUUUGCUCGGGAUUCUCCUCAGGUGACGUUUGCACCAUCCCAGCAGAUGAGUUCAGGCAGUGUAGUACAGCCAACAGCUCCAACCGUACCUCAGAGUAGUGGCAGAGGUAGAGGGAGAGGGGCAGCCUCUACUUCAGCAGCAGGUUCCCGAGGUGGAAAUCCGGUAGCCCCAGCACGGAUUUUCACUGUGACACAGGAGGAGGCUAACACGUCGAACACAGUGGUGUCAGGUAAUCUCAUCAUAGGGUGUUCAGAUGUGUAUGCUUUGAUGGACCCUGGUGCUUCUCAUUCCUUUGUUGCUUCGAGAGCCAUAGAGAGGUUGGGUUUGAUGAUUUCUGAGUUAGAGUAUCCUCUCUGGGUCAGUGGACCCAAGUGUGAUCCAUCAGUGGCAGUGUCAGUCUGUCAUUUCAGUCCAAUAUUCAUAGAGGGUAGAUGCCUUCCAGCUGACCUUGUGGUUCUAGACUUGACAGAUUUUGAUGUCAUUCUAGGGAUGGAUUGGUUAUCUGCAUAUGGUGCGACCUUGGACUGUAGAGAGAAGGUAGUUAGUCUCAGAGAUCAGGAUGGGUCAGAGUGUGUCUUCAGGGGAGACAGGAGAGGUAUACCCAGAGGGUUGAUUUCGGCCCUUCAGGCUCGUCGUUUGCUUAGGAGGGGUUGUCAGGGGUUUCUAGCUCAUGUGAGAGAGCUAGACAGUCAGGUUAGGGAACCAGCCACAGUACCAGUAGUUCGCAAAUUCCUAGAUGUGUUCCCAGACGACUUACCAGGACUACCACCUGAUAGGGAGAUAGAGUUUGAAAUUGAAUUGCUGUCUGAUACCAGACCUAUCUCUAUUCCUCCCUACAGGAUGGCACCAGCAGAACUACAAGAGUUGAAAAAGCAGUUGCAGGAUUUGGUAGAUAAGGGUUUCAUCCGCCCUAGUACCUCACCUUGUGGAGCUCCAGUGCUCUUUGUCAGAAAGAAGGAUGGAUCCCUCAGACUUUGUAUCGACUACAGACAGUUGAACAAGGUCACUACCAAGAAUCGGUAUCCUUUACCUCGGAUUGAUGAUCUAUUCGACCAGCUAGCUGGAGCAGGUUGUUUCUCUAAAAUAGAUCUGAGAUCUGGGUAUCAUCAGUUGCGAGUCAGAGAGGCAGAUGUGCCAAAGACAGCUUUCAGGACCAGAUAUGGGCAUUAUGAGUUCUUAGUGAUGCCGUUCGGGUGGACUAACGCCCCUGCAGCAUUCAUCGAUCUUAUGAACUGAGUUUUCAGCGAGUUUCUGGAUCACUUUGUCAUUGUUUUUAUCGAUGAUAUCUUGGUAUAUUCCAGAGAUGCAGAGGAGCAUGCCCAGCAUCUGAGGAUAGUUUUGCAGAUACUGAGAGAGCAUGGUUUGUAUGCCAAGUUCUCUAAGUGUGAGUUUUGGUUGAGGAGCAUUUCUUUCUUGGGACAUGUGGUAUCAGCAGAAGGGAUUGAGGUAGACCCCAAGAAGAUAGAGGCUGUAGCUAACUGGCCCAGACCCACUACAGUGACUGAGAUCAAAAGCUUUUUGGGACUAGCAGGUUACUACAGGAGGUUCGUUCAGGACUUCUCGAAGAUAGCUGCUCCUAUGACCAAAUUGACUCAGAAGAACCAGAAGUUUAUCUGGUCAGACUAGUGUGAAGAGAGCUUUGAGGAGCUCAAGAGGAGACUGACAUCAGCACCAGUGCUAGCUCUGCCUGUUAGUAAUGAGGAUUUCACAGUGUUCUGUGAUGCGUCUCGAGUGGGAUUGGGUUGUGUUUUGAUGCAGAGUGAUAGGGUGAUUGCUUAUGCUUCUAGACAGUUGAAGAAGCACGAGUUAAAUUACCCCACCCAUGACCUAGAGAUGGCAGCAGUUAUCUUUGCACUCAAGAUGUGGAGGCAUUACCUCUACGGGGUGAAAUGCGAGAUCUUCACUGAUCAUAAGAGUUUACAGUACAUCCUGAGUCAGAGAGAGUUGAAUUUGAGGCAGAGAAGAUGGGUAGAAUUGCUCAGUGAUUAUGAUUGUACGAUCCAGUAUCAUCCGGGUAAGGCGAAUGUUGUAGCAGACGCCCUAAGCCGGAAGUCACUAGGCAGUUUAUCCCAUAUAGCAGCAAAGCGGAGACCAGUAGUGAUGGAGCUUUAUAAGCUCAUUGACGAAGGGUUACAGCUAGAGUUGUUUGGUACGGGUGCAUUGAUAGCACAGAUGAGAGUGACACCAGUGUUUCUGGAGCAGAUAGCUCAGAAACAGCAUGAGGACCCAGAGUUGAUGAAAAUUGCUAGGACUGUUCAGUCAGGCAAUAGUACAGAGUUCAGAUUUGAUAGCAAAGGGAUCCUUCGCUAUGGGAGUCGCCUUUGUGUGCCAGAUGUUAGUAGUCUGAAGGAAGACAUUAUGAGGGAAGCUCAUAAUGCGAGGUAUAGUGUUCACCCAGGAACCACCAAGAUGUAACAGGAUUUGAAGAGGGUAUAUUGGUGGCCAGCCAUGAAGAAAAAAGUGGCGCAGUUCGUGACAGCCUGUGAGGUUUGUCAGAGGGUGAAACUGGAACAUCAGAAGCCGGCUGGAAUGCUUAACCCACUGCCGAUUCUAGAAUGGAAAUGGGAGCACAUAGCUAUGGAUUUUGUAGUGGGCUUACCGGCAGCGUCCAACAGGAUAGACUCCAUAUGGGUGAUUGUGGACAGACUCACGAAAUCUGCUCAUUUCAUUCCAGUGAGGAGUAACUAUUCUGUAGAUCAACUGGCACAGGUAUAUCUUGAUGAGAUAGUGAGAUUACAUGGAGUUCCAGUGUCUAUAGUUUCAGACAGAGGACCUCAGUUCACCUCCAGAUUUUGGCAAAGUCUGCAGAGUGCGAUGGGCACGAGAUUGGAUUUUAGCACUGCUUUCCACCCACAGACUGAUGGGCAAUCAGAGAGGACCAUCCAGACCAUAGAGGAUAUGCUCCGAAUGUGUGUGUUAGACUUUGGCGGUUCUUGGAGGCAGCAUCUACCUCUGGUGGAGUUUGCCUACAAUAACAGCCAUCAUGCUAGCAUAGGGAUGGCUCCUUAUGAAGCAUUCUAUGGAAGGAAGUGCAGAUCACCUGUUUGCUGGGAAGAGGUAGGAGAGAAGGCUCUUGCAGGGCCAGAGUUAGUAGAGAUUACCAGUAAAAUAGUACCUAUGAUCAGAGAGAGGAUCAGAACAGCUCAGAGUCGACAGAAAAGCUAUGCAGACGUACGCAGAAAACAGAUAGAGUUUCAGGAGGGUAGUAUGGUGUUGCUGAAGGUGUCUCCAAUGAAAGGAGUGGUUCGGUUUGGAACGAAAGGUAAGUUAGCUCCACGAUACAUUGGACCCUUUGAGAUUGUACAGAGGAUCGGAAAUGUGUCGUAUAAGCUGGAUUUACCUGCUUCUAUGGAGAGAAUUCACCCGAUAUUUCAUGUUUCUAUGCUACGGCAGUUUGUGUCAGAUCCGAAUCAGGUUCUGAGUGAGCCUGAUGUGGAGGUCCUUGGAGAUCUCACCUAUAUAGAGCAGCCAGUGCGGAUUCUGGACACACAAAUCAGGCAGCUAAGGAACAAGGAAAUUCUGAUGGUGAAAGUCCUGUGGAACCACCAUAAUCUUGAGGAGUGCACGUGGGAGACGCGAGAGUCUAUGCUCCAGCAGUAUCCAUAUCUAUUUUGAGGUUAGUUUCCUCCUUGUUAUGUGUUUCUGAUUUGUUUUAAGGACCAUUAGAGGACAAAUGUUCUUAAGGGGGGAGAAUGUAAUACCCGGCGAGAGUCCGGCAUCGGAAUUCCUAUCGUCCGGUGGAAUCCAGGAUGUCGGAAUUCUCUAGACGGGUAGAAUUUAUGUUUUUCUAAAGUCAUGAAGCAUGUUUUCAUGUUUUCACGUUAAAUGGAACUAAGUUUUUGAAAGAAAGAACCAAGGCAGAAAAGCCAAGUUCGGCCGCCGAACAUGCAUGGCUUUCGGUUUCACAAUAGGCCGCCGAAGGUGGUCUGGCCAGCCACCUAUAAAAGGCCCUCAGUCGGUUGAAAGGAUAAGCUCUGCCGUUUCUUUCACUUUCUGAGGUGAAUCCCUGUCCUUUUUGAGUUUUCUUCAUGUUUUCAUCAAAUCAUGCAAAGGUUUGAUUGAGUUUUUAUGGAUUUUGAAGGUUUUGAGCUAAAAACACAAAGUUGUGCAUGUUGGAGAGUUUGAAGGAGAGUUGCUCCAAAACUCCACGUUAGGAUCGUUCAUCUUCUUGGUUUCAAGAGGUAAGUGAAGAUCCUGAGCUUGUUUUCAUGAUUU
RNAcentral lists this long non-coding RNA (7594 nucleotides) under Manihot esculenta (cassava). Its description in RNAcentral is "long non-coding RNA (MESC_LNC010193)". The record is from RNAcentral. Lineage: Eukaryota; Viridiplantae; Streptophyta; Magnoliopsida; Malpighiales; Euphorbiaceae.